Molecule: long non-coding RNA, 2160 nt
Organism: Betta splendens (Siamese fighting fish)
Lineage: Eukaryota; Metazoa; Chordata; Actinopteri; Anabantiformes; Osphronemidae
Exons: 3
Source: RefSeq, a predicted model, not a curated record
GGUUUCACCAUAAAGUUCGGUGACUUCUUACACGGUCGUAACAUCGUUCCUUUGUUUGAUUGUUUCAGUGACACUAGUAGCAGCAGGAAACCUUUCUCCUCUCUGUUUAUUGUGUAAAAGCUAAAUAUUGGCUGCGACGCAUCAGGGGAGAGGCUGGUGGUUGGUAGAGAACGGACGUGCAGCGGCCGCUUUAUUAGGAACCCAAGGAAUGACUGAGGCCCAUGAGAGGACGGCGCUGAUACGAGGUGCUUUUGUUUUGGCCACUGAGAAACUCAGCGAAUCCUGAGGAGCUGAAACACAAAGUAGGUUCAUCAUUUAGACCAGGAUGAAGACGAACAGCAGGUUGUUAAGAGCCUCGCGUCACUGUCAUCAGUCCGCUCAGGGUCUCAUCCUGGCACUCCUGGACUUCAUUACCCAGCAUUCAUAGCUGCCCAGUCCAGUAUGGCUUCAAACGAUGCUGCUACUGCCAGGAUGUAGAUGUGCAGCGUAUAUGACAGCUGAUGUCGGCGCUCGUUACCAUUACAGACUCCUAAUAAAUGCUUACUGAGCUGUCAACACGCGGCAGCAGCUCUGGGAGCGCAGCGGUGGCAUCUGGCUUCACUGUGGACGCGUGUUCCUGCAGCAGCCACGUUCGUUUACCUGAACGAGCUCGUCCAAGCUCGCUCAUGGGGCGUUUAUGAACAGAACCCAGAUGCUGGUCUGGGCCUGACCCUGAACCAGAGCAUGUAUGGUGCUUCGCUCCAGCUCUGCUUGUUGAUUUGUGGACUAAACCUUUCAUCGUUCCAGUUUUCUGACUCCUGUUCAUGUUUUUUUAUGACGGUCUCUCAGACUUUCCCUGAGCCUUAGAGACACUUUAUCCAUGUCAAACUCAAACAAAUGAGCGUUGGAAGCUUUGCAAACACCUGGUGAAAGUGUUUCACUGACCGAUGCGGAUCUGAUCCAGUCGUGCAUCAGCCGCCGACUAUGGGAGCAGACGGACAAGGUGCUUGUAGCUGAAAGGCUGCCUUAUUCAGUCACUUUAUGACAGAACCAAGCUCCCAUUGGACCACAGGCCUCGUGCCGAGUGCAUGGAUGUGCUGCUCUCACAUUUACAAAGCAAACUUGUGAAAUAGGAACGUGGUAAAUUUGUUUGGAUGUGCUGCGUUUCUGGAACAAUCUGUUCACACUGUCACACGACGGGGUCUCGCUGCUGGUGCAGCAGUGCAGCUCCUACAAAUGGGAUCAUUUGUUUUCACCACUUUAUGUGGGAAUCAAACUCGAUGUGAGGAGUCACAGCUUCGUGGGUUUGAGGAAGGUUUGUGAACAUCAUCUCACCUCAGAACUGUAAACAAAUGAUGCGUUGGACUCUUGUUGUCAUGGCAACGCGAAGCCCCACUGCCUACGUCACACAGGGGAUGUUGUUGUAACUGGAGGUGAAUUAAUCAGUGUGCCAGUGUGUUGUGGAAGUGUCUCAACGUGACUUCAAAGAUGAACUUUAAAGCAGACAAAUAAAAAAGACCUAAUCACCACAUAGGAAAACUACAGCGAGCCGCCUUUCAAGCGGAGCAGAUGGGACCUUCCUGCUGCUGCUCAGGGCCAAAACAUUUCUCUUUAGCGACUUUGUAAAUUGUUGUAAACAGCUCAAAAAACAGGAUCGGAGCUUCGUGACUAAUUGCAUCCUCUGAUCUCGCUCCUGCUCUUAAUCCAGCCCAGAACCAGACGCCAACCUUUAACUAAUGACUGGACUGUAACUUAAUGAGAGCGAGGAGAAAUUGAAUUUGAGCGAGCGUCUGGAAGCUUCUCAGCUGUUAAAUGGUUUAGCGCCAUAAAAACUGGAAUUACAGCAGACGUUCACAGCGAAGCCUCGUUCCCAACUUAUUUGUGAGGCACUGGCCGGCUGACGUUUACGGCCUCCUGCUCCGGCUGCCGUCGGUGACAGUUGAGUGCAAAGGCAACCAGCAGCGUCUCAGGGUCAGACUCAAGGUCACAGUCGCUGUGAAAUACAAGUCAGAUAAAAUAGCUCCUUUCGAAAGCCUGACUGUGUUUCUAGUACUUUAGAAGUCAUAAAAGCACAAAUGUAGCAGCAGCACGUUGUGUUUGCAUCAGUGACUCCAUUAGGGAGGCCUGAGUGCCGGGUACGGAGGAUGUCCUCCACAGGGUCCCUCACCAGAUGGGGACCGA